GACGAACGCUGGCGGCGUGCUUAACACAUGCAAGUCGAACGGAAAGGCCCUGCUUUUGUGGGGUGCUCGAGGGGCGAACGGGUGAGUAACACGUGAGUAACCUGCCCUUGACUUUGGGAUAACUUCAGGAAACUGGGGCUAAUACCGGAUAGGAGCUCCUGCUGCAGGGUGGGGGUUGGAAAGUUUCGGCGGUUGGGGAUGGACUCGCGGCUUAUCAGCUUGUUGGUGGGGUAGUGGCUUACCAAGGCUUUGACGGGUAGCCGGCCUGGGAGGGUGAGCGGCCACACUGGGCCUGAGAUACGGCCCAGACUCCUACGGGAGGCAGCAGUGGGGAAUAUUGCACAAUGGGCGGAAGCCUGAUGCAGCAACGCCGCGUGCGGGAUGACGGCCUUCGGGUUGUAAACCGCUUUCGCCUGUGACGAAGCGUGAGUGACGGUACUGGGUAAAGAAGCACCGGCUAACUACGUG
RNAcentral lists this ribosomal RNA (468 nucleotides) under uncultured bacterium. RNAcentral describes it as "partial 16S ribosomal RNA". It matches the Rfam family "Bacterial small subunit ribosomal RNA", at positions 28 to 507 of the family's 1533-position model. The record is from RNAcentral.